Molecule: transfer RNA, 73 nt
Filed under: Paramuricea clavata
Lineage: Eukaryota; Metazoa; Cnidaria; Anthozoa; Malacalcyonacea; Plexauridae
Description: tRNA-Ser
Rfam family: tRNA
About the family: Transfer RNA (tRNA) molecules are approximately 80 nucleotides in length. Their secondary structure includes four short double-helical elements and three loops (D, anti-codon, and T loops).
Source: RNAcentral
UACUCUGUAGCUAAGUUGGUUAAAGCGCUGCACCGGAAUCGCAGAGCCGCCGGUUCGAUUCCUGCCAGAGGGC